GCUAACUCUGUGCCAGCAGCCGCGGUAAUACAGAGGGUGCAAGCGUUAAUCGGAAUUACUGGGCGUAAAGGGAGCGUAGGUGGCUCGAUAAGUCAGAUGUGAAAUCCCCGGGCUCAACCUGGGAACUGCAUUUGAUACUGUUGAGCUAGAGUAUGUGAGAGGAAGGUAGAAUUCCAGGUGUAGCGGUGAAAUGCGUAGAGAUUUGGAGGAAUACCGAUGGCGAAGGCAGCCUUCUGGCAUAAUACUGACACUGAGGCUCGAAAGCGUGGGUAGCAAACAGGAUUAGAUACCCUGGUAGUUCACGCCGUAAACGAUGUUUACUAGUCGUUGGGUCCCUUGAGGACUUAGUGACGCAGCUAACGCAAUAAGUAGACCGCCUGGGGAGUACGGCCGCAAGGUUAAAACUCAAAUGAAUUGACGGGGGCCCGCACAAGCGGUGGAGCAUGUGGUUUAAUUCGAUGCAACGCGAAGAACCUUACCUGGUCUUGAUAU
This 492-nucleotide ribosomal RNA is filed under the name Psychrobacter sp. Nj-18. Its description in RNAcentral is "bacterial SSU rRNA". It matches the Rfam family "Bacterial small subunit ribosomal RNA", at positions 496 to 987 of the family's 1533-position model. The record is from RNAcentral. Lineage: Bacteria; Pseudomonadati; Pseudomonadota; Gammaproteobacteria; Moraxellales; Moraxellaceae.